RNAcentral lists this ribosomal RNA (459 nucleotides) under uncultured bacterium. RNAcentral's name for it is "partial 16S ribosomal RNA". It matches the Rfam family "Bacterial small subunit ribosomal RNA", at positions 338 to 795 of the family's 1533-position model. The record is from RNAcentral.
CCUACGGGGGGCAGCAGUGAGGAAUAUUGGUCAAUGGGCGCGAGCCUGAACCAGCCAAGUCGCGUGAGGGAAGACGGUCCUAUGGAUUGUAAACCUCUUUUGUCGGGGAGCAAAAGACGCCACGCGUGGCGUUCCGAGAGUACCCGACGAACAAGCAUCGGCUAACUCCGUGCCAGCAGCCGCGGUAAUACGGAGGAUGCGAGCGUUAUCCGGAUUUAUUGGGUUUAAAGGGUGCGCAGGCGGAAGAUCAAGUCAGCGGUAAAAUUGAGAGGCUCAACCUCUUCGAGCCGUUGAAACUGGUGUUCUUGAGUGAGUGAGAAGUAUGCGGAAUGCGUGGUGUAGCGGUGAAAUGCAUAGAUAUCACGCAGAACUCCGAUUGCGAAGGCAGCAUACCGGCGCUCAACUGACGCUCAUGCACGAAAGUGUGGGUAUCGAACAGGAUUAGAUACCCUGGUAGUC